ACAUUAAGAAAAUUGGCUACAACCCUGAC
This 29-nucleotide non-coding RNA is filed under the name Cricetulus griseus (Chinese hamster). The record is from RNAcentral. Lineage: Eukaryota; Metazoa; Chordata; Mammalia; Rodentia; Cricetidae. RNAcentral also lists the same sequence under 1 other name.